Corvus hawaiiensis (hawaiian crow) is the source of this 721-nucleotide long non-coding RNA. RefSeq lists it as uncharacterized. NCBI's taxonomy places the organism in Eukaryota, Metazoa, Chordata, Aves, Passeriformes, Corvidae. The record is from RefSeq and is a predicted model, not a curated record. The transcript is spliced from 4 exons.
GCCAGAGAAUUAAAUGUGAAUUCUUUAUUCACAGCUCAGAGCCUUUGCUCCCUAAAGUAGCCUCCGUAAAGCGACUGCAGCUGUAUCUGAGAGCUGAUUGUGUGAGCUGCAUGUGCUGCUGCAUAAAUGGGAUCAGUGACUGGAGUGUCACGGCCGUGCCUGCUCACAGGAAUCCAGCUCUAGGGACUGCAGUCCCUCCUCCUGCAUUUCAAAGAUGAGGGAAAGAUGUUACAGUUUAACAUCAACUGAGUUACUGCAUGGACCAGUGUGAGAGUUAGCACUGAUCACGGCGUUAAGAGGAAGCUUCAUAUUCCUAGUUCUGCCUCAAACCAGCCAAUUUCUAGGAGAAACAUCAAGCAAUUCAUUGCAUUUGCCUGCACAGCCUGGGUCAAUCUGUUGUCAAAUGAUGAGAUUCAAGGCCUAGAAACCUGUAUCUUUGCAAAUUGUGUACCAGCUACAGCCAGGAUUCAGGCUCACACAUUUUGAGAGAUGUUUUGGGAGCUGUAUAUCACACAGUUGAGGAUUUUUAAGCACGGUCUAUGGAAUUUGGUGGCAGUCAGCAGAAGCACCAAAGGUAACCAGAGCAGGAUUUAUGCAGGUUGUCUUGGACUGCAGACAUGAAUCACACAAUUGCACUGAUACCUUAAGAGUUAAGCUUAUAAAAUACCUAAAUAUUACAGGUACAGAGCAUCAACCAAUCUCAAGAUAAAAUGAUGCAUUU